CGUAGGGUGCGAGCGUUAAUCGGAAUUACUGGGCGUAAAGUGUGCGCAGGUGGCUGAGCAAGUCGAGUGUGAAAUCCCCGGGCUUAACUUGGGAAUUGCGCUCGAAACUACUUGGCUCGAGUGUGGCAGAGGAAGGUGGAAUUCCAGGUGUAGCGGUGAAAUGCGUAGAGAUCUGGAGGAACACCGAUGGCGAAGGCAGCCUUCUGGGCCAACACUGACGCUCAUGCACGAAAGCUGGGGAGCAAACAGGAUUAGAUACCCUGGUAGUCCACGCCCUAAACGAUGAUGACUAGUUGUUGGGGGAGUUAAAUCCCUUAGUAACGCAGCUAACGCGUGAAGUCAUCCGCCUGGGGAGUACGGUCGCAAGAUUA
Molecule: ribosomal RNA, 371 nt
Filed under: uncultured organism
Description: bacterial SSU rRNA
Rfam family: Bacterial small subunit ribosomal RNA
Source: RNAcentral